This 433-nucleotide ribosomal RNA is filed under the name uncultured bacterium. RNAcentral's name for it is "partial 16S ribosomal RNA". It matches the Rfam family "Bacterial small subunit ribosomal RNA", at positions 29 to 507 of the family's 1533-position model. The record is from RNAcentral.
AACGAACGCUGGCGGCAUGCCUAACACAUGCAAGUCGAACGAGACCUUCGGGUCUAGUGGCGCACGGGUGCGUAACGCGUGGGAACCUGCCCUUAGGUUCGGAAUAACUCCCCGAAAGGGGUGCUAAUACCGGAUAAUGUCUUCGGACCAAAGAUUUAUCGCCUUUGGAUGGGCCCGCGUUGGAUUAGCUAGUUGGUAGGGUAAAAGCCUACCAAGGCGACGAUCCAUAGCUGGUCUGGGAGGAUGAUCAGCCACACUGGGACUGAGACACGGCCCAGACUCCUACGGGAGGCAGCAGUGGGGAAUAGUGGACAAUGGGCGAAAGCCUGAUCCAGCAAUGCCGCGUGAGUGAUGAAGGCCUUAGGGUUGUAAAGCUCUUUUACCCGGGAUGAUAAUGACAGUACCGGGAGAAUAAGCGCCGGCUAACUCCGUG